This 121-nucleotide small RNA is filed under the name Winogradskyella sp. PG-2. RNAcentral's name for it is "6S-Flavo RNA". It matches the Rfam family "6S-Flavo RNA". The record is from Rfam by way of RNAcentral. Lineage: Bacteria; Pseudomonadati; Bacteroidota; Flavobacteriia; Flavobacteriales; Flavobacteriaceae.
ACUCAACGAUCAAUUCUUUAAAAAGGGUGAGUUGAAGUUGUAAAAUCGUGCUGUUAAUACUUUGGUAUUUAGACAGAUUUUUGAUCAGCUUGUUAGCCCUAAACUUGUUUUUAAGGAGUUU